CUCUGAAUCUUCACUAAAAUGUUAUAUUUGUGACAAAGUGUUUAAAAGAAAACACUAUCGAAAUUGUCAUAUGUGAAAUAUUCACAAGAUAAAUUGUAAGGGAAAACUAUUGCCUGAAGUCGAUUAUUCUUGCUUAUUGUGUAAUAAAAAUUUUGCAUGCAAGAGAAAUUUACAAAUUCAUUUGAAUGCAGUUCACUUACAACAAGAUGAUUCAAACUUACUUAAAUGCGACAAAUGCAGCUACAGCACUGCGUACAAGUAAAAUCUUAAAAGGCAUCUGUCAAAACAUACAAAUCACAAACAGCAACAAAAACUUUUGAAAUGUUCUAAAUGCAAUGCCAUAUAUAGUUCUUUGACAUUUUUAAGGUUGCACGAAAAAAAAUCUCACAAUGAUCUCAAAAUAAAAUGUUUCAUCAAUACAAAUAGUAUAUGCCUCUUCAUGUUGGUCAUAAAAGUGAACUGAAGCAUACAUGGUUGACUACCGAAGAAAGAAAGUGUAUUGCAAAACAUUAGCUUGUAAAACUCCCCACCAUGAUGUACUUCGAAUGGUCAGAAGUACAAUAACCAACCAAGAGCUGCAAAGAUUGCAUCUAAUAACAAGAAAAGACAUCGCCAAUAUUGAAAGGGAUUUUAACCUAACCUCUGAGGCGCAGAAACAUCCCUUUGACUCAAUAAGUGUUGAAUGCUGGUAUCGUCAACUGAAGGACUCAAAAGAUACAGCUUGUGUGUUUUAUAAACCAUAAGGAGGAACAUUGAAUGACUAUCACGAAUUAACAAAAGACGAUUUUGUUCUGAUUUAUAUGUCAGAAGGUCAAAAGGUGUUGCUUAAUAAAUAUGGGAAAGAUACCAUAUGUAUAGACGGUAUCAAUAAGCAGAAUUUUCAGCUCUGUACUAUUUUAACUUUAGAUGCCAGCCAAGAAGGAUUUCCAACUGCUUUAAUGUUUAGUGAUAGGGGAGAUGACAACAUAAUGUCUUUAUUUUUUCAAAAAAUAAAAGAUAUGGUAGGUGUUGUACAGACAAAUGUUUUUAUGUCUGACAUGGAAGAAACCUUUUACAAUGCCUGGGUAAAGGUCAUGGGCCCAAUGCAAGUAAGAUUAUUUUGUACAUGGUAUAUACUGAGAGCGUGGAAAAAGAAUUUAAACAUAAUAUAGUCAAAAGAAAUUAAAGAGACGCCACUUUUAAAAUUUUGCAAACUUUGCUACAAGACAGGGACAUAAAUACUUUCCAUACCCUACUUGAAGGAGCCUUAAAAAGUUUGAUAGUGAACAAGAUACUUCUGUCUUCGGCAACUAUUUCAAAGAUUAUUACGUAAAAAACCACCGUUUUAAGCUUUGGGCAUAUUGCUACCGCAUGAAUGCUGGCAUAAACACUAAUAUGUCAAUAGAGAGCUUCAAUACAGUGUUGAAAUAUUUUUAUCUGGAAGGAAAAAAAGUGCAAAGACUGGAUAAAACCUUAUGUGCUUUACUAAAUCUGAUUAGGGACAAACUUUUUGACAGCUUAAUAAAAUUGGAAAAAGGUAAAGUACUUACAAAACUAUAAAUGUUAUGUAGACUACCUAGACGGCAUAAAGAAAGCUAUGAGAUUGCUGACUAUAACAUCAUUACAUUGGAAAAUAAAUGGCAAGUGUUAUCUUCUAAAGCACAAGAAUUUUAUUCAGUAAAAAAAGUUAAAGAAUGCAACUGUUGUGUACUUUUGUGCCUACGUUGUAAUUCCUGUUUUCAUGAAUACAUAUGUUCGUGUAUGGACAAUAGUAUAAAAAACUGCAUGUGCAAGCAUAUCCAUUUGGUGGCUUGCUUACUCUGUAGCAAAACUGAUGAAUCUCCUUUGGAAAUGUAUAGACUGGGGUUUUGAAAAUUGACCAUUGAUGAUGAUACGAACUUAAAAGAGCAAAUACUAUAAGAAAUUUCAUAUGACAAAAACAACACUCCUAAUGACGAGGCUCGCCCAAAGAGAAUUUAUGAAAAAAUGACAUUGUGAUGGAAUACAUGAAAAGAAACUACUUCAGACCAAAAAGAUUAUAUUGAUAACCAUUUGACACAAAUAUUAACUAAAUUAGAUGCAAUGGCCACUACUGCGCAGAUACCAGUUAAGAUAUGUUUGGAUAUAAAACAACUCAUUAAUUCGUAAUAGAUAACAGAAAUCAGAACCGUUUAGAACUGAGGUUGCAAUCAGCUGCAUGUUCUGGGUUUGUCGGAACUGCUUGGCUCUGACCAGUCGAAUUUUUGGGAUUUAUCGGUACUGCUCGGCUCUGCCCCCACUCUUUCUCUCCGCAGCGUGCGAUCACCUCACCUCAUCUAGGUGACCCAUGAGGAGCUCAUCAAUUGUCACCUGAAAACACAGACUGUACUCCCGGCCCAGGAAGCAACCACUGUUCACCCGUUGUAAUCACCAAAAACUGUUUUGAAAUAUCUUUCAUUUGUGGGUUGAUGUAAAAUUAAAUUAGUACAAAUUUUAACAAGUAUUCUCAACCAGUACGUAAAGUAUCAUAGAGUAUUUUCAAAAUCUCAAAAUAAUAGCUAAUAACCAAUGUUGUAAGGAUUUACAAAAACAUGUAUUAUGCCUUUAAUUAUUAACUUACAACUCUUAAUUUUUAGAAUGUUGUUCUUUAAAAGGCAUACACAAAAUAUUUUUACUGUAAUAAGAUUUUAAUAAUGAUGAGUUAAAGUGGAGAAAGCUUAAAUUUUAAACACAAAGCAGUUUUCUCCAUAUUUGUUGUUACAACAAUCCGAAUAGUAAAAAAAAUAUUUUUCCUUUACUCAAAUACAUUGGUGAACACUACACAAAUAGUAAAACCUUGUUUCUGAGGUAAUAUUUUAAUGUGGUAGACAUUUGUAGUGAGAUGUUUAGCUUGUGAGAGAGGUCACAGGAACCCAGCUCCAUCAGGAAUCUUCUUUAGAAAAACAAACUAUACUCCAGCUGAACAGGAACAGACUUGGGACAGAAGCAGGAUACAUAAAAGGGGGAUGAUAAAAAGAGAGCUGAAACCCACAACAAUGACCCUAAUAAUUGUGACACUUGGCCACUCCAUGGUUCUACAUAGCUACUACAGCUCUACCAGUUUCACAUAAAAAGUGAUGUAAUAGUAUUAUUAUUAAGAUAAACUUACAAAUGAGGGGAAGAAUCUUCGAGGAGAUAGAUCAAAUUUGUCAUCUCGACACAGAACCGACUGCGUUAGUGCAUUUAUUAGGCGGCAUCUACGCAUGUGAUCGAUCCUGUUAGUGUAUUGUGUUAAUUCAAGCGUGUUAGUGUCAAUACAAUGUCUAGUUUAGUGCGUGUCUACAUAUCGUUGUUUUAGUGUGUGUGUUUGUAACAAACAUUAUCUUUUACUAUUCAUUUUAUUUAGUUUAUUAUUAUUAUAAUUUAAAUGGAAAAUAAUUUGGAUACCAUUGUUCUUCCUUAAAUUGAAUAGGUUGAAGAUAAUUGUUUCCCUAUUUAUGGUAGUGACAGUGAAUAUGAUACUCCGCCAGAGUAUUCGACACACAAUGCAAACACUGAACAGUCUUGUAAAAGUGAUGGGGAUCCAGAACUUUUUGCUCCAAUCUUACAACCCAAAUGCCCUGUCAGGAAAAACAGAUUUACGCUUUUCAAGUGUUGAGCUUGUUCAAGGUCUACAUGCAAGGAAAAUAUUGCGAAAACCAUACACAUAAUUGUGCAACAGAAGGAAAAUAAUAACUAUUUAUUCUGCAAUUGUCAUUGUAUUUUCAUAUAUUUUAUA
This 3715-nucleotide long non-coding RNA is filed under the name Homalodisca vitripennis (glassy-winged sharpshooter). RNAcentral's name for it is "uncharacterized LOC124362941". The record is from RNAcentral. Lineage: Eukaryota; Metazoa; Arthropoda; Insecta; Hemiptera; Cicadellidae.